AUGGCGACGGGCGGCGUGGUUGAGGGCGGCGGCGUCUGGCCGGUGGAGGCGCCGGCGGUGGAGUCCAGCGGCGCGGUGGUGACGGGCAGCGGCGGGUUGGGUGGUGAUGCAGACAUGAUCGGAACCGAGCUACCUGAUACCAAAUUGGUAGGAGCUAGGAUCCUACCUGGUCUAGGGCGUAGGUUGUACGGGAGGGGGAGGGUUGACGGAGAUGCGAUCGCGGCUGCCGGCGGCGGGGCGCUGUGGCGCGAUGAAGAAGAGGCGGCGGCGGCGCAAGAGGCGGCUAGGGUUAGGUCUCCUGGCUCCCUUCGGGAAGCCGAGCAAAUAAUGAUUGCUUCUUGCUUGAUUAGAUUGAUACAUCUCCUCUCCUUAUAUAGAGAGGUUUACUUGACUCCUAAGCAAACGAUCCUAAUAACGAUAAGAUAA
RNAcentral lists this ribosomal RNA (426 nucleotides) under Triticum aestivum (bread wheat). Its description in RNAcentral is "partial small subunit ribosomal RNA". The record is from RNAcentral. Lineage: Eukaryota; Viridiplantae; Streptophyta; Magnoliopsida; Poales; Poaceae.